GAUGAAGAACGCAUCGAAAUGCGAUAAGUAGUGUGAAUUGCAGAAUUCCGUGAAUCAUCGAAUCUUUGAACGCACAUUGCGCCUCCUGGUAGUCCGGGAGGCAUGCCUGUUCGAGCGUCACCAAAUCCAACUCAAGCGGUUUUGCGCUUGGUCGUGGCGGAAGAGUCGGUCUGGUUGCCGUCUCCCCUCCGAAAAUCAACGGCGGAAAGUCACUGGCAGUCAGCGUAGUAGUAUCGUUCGCCGAACAUCCAGUGGCAUUCCUGCCGACGUACCCCCACAAUUCUCGUGAUUGACCUCGGAUCAGGUAGGGAUACCCGCUGAACUUAAGCAUAUCAAUAAGCGGAGGA
Molecule: unclassified non-coding RNA, 347 nt
Filed under: soil metagenome
Description: partial contains 5.8S ribosomal RNA, internal transcribed spacer 2, and large subunit ribosomal RNA
Rfam family: 5.8S ribosomal RNA (bases 1-120)
Source: RNAcentral